UACGUAGGGGACGAGCGUUGUCCGGAAUUACUGGGCGUAAAGGGUGCGUAGGUGGUUUCUUAAGUCAGAGGUGAAAGGCUACGGCUCAACCGUAGUAAGCCUUUGAAACUGGGAAACUUGAGUGCAGGAGAGGAGAGUGGAAUUCCUAGUGUAGCGGUGAAAUGCGUAGAUAUUAGGAGGAACACCAGUUGCGAAGGCGGCUCUCUGGACUGUAACUGACACUGAGGCACGAAAGCGUGGGGAGCAAACAGGAUUAGAUACCCGGGUAGUCCCUGAGCGGGCU
This 283-nucleotide ribosomal RNA is filed under the name uncultured prokaryote. RNAcentral's name for it is "partial 16S ribosomal RNA". It matches the Rfam family "Bacterial small subunit ribosomal RNA", at positions 524 to 817 of the family's 1533-position model. The record is from RNAcentral.